Molecule: ribosomal RNA, 252 nt
Filed under: uncultured bacterium
Lineage: Bacteria
Description: partial 16S ribosomal RNA
Rfam family: Bacterial small subunit ribosomal RNA
Source: RNAcentral
UACGUAGGGGGCGAGCGUUGUCCGGAAUUAUUGGGCGUAAAGGGUUCGCAGGCGGCCUUUUAAGUCAGAUGUUAAAUCUCACGGCUUAACCGUGAUAAGCAUUUGAAACUGGAGGGCUUGAGUUAAGGAGAGGAAAGUGGAAUUCCUAGUGUAGCGGUGAAAUGCGUAGAUAUUAGGAGGAAUACCGGUGGCGAAGGCGACUUUCUGGACUUAUACUGACGCUGAGGAACGAAAGCAUGGGGAGCAAACAGG